UACGGAGGAUGCAAGCGUUAUCCGGAUUUAUUGGGUUUAAAGGGUGCGCAGGCGGAAUGAUAAGUCAGUGGUGAAAUCCUACAGCUCAACUGUAGAACUGCCAUUGAUACUGUUGUUCUUGAGUACAUUUGUAGUGGGCGGAAUGUGUCAUGUAGCGGUGAAAUGCUUAGAGAUGACACAGAACACCGAUCGCGAAGGCAGCUCACUAGGCUGUAACUGACGCUGAGGCACGAAAGCGUGGGGAUCAAACAGGAUUAGAUACCCUUGUA
This 269-nucleotide ribosomal RNA is filed under the name uncultured prokaryote. Its description in RNAcentral is "partial 16S ribosomal RNA". It matches the Rfam family "Bacterial small subunit ribosomal RNA", at positions 524 to 792 of the family's 1533-position model. The record is from RNAcentral.